Molecule: non-coding RNA, 376 nt
Organism: Thunnus maccoyii (southern bluefin tuna)
Lineage: Eukaryota; Metazoa; Chordata; Actinopteri; Scombriformes; Scombridae
Source: the annotation of a RefSeq genome assembly
AUGACUUUGAUCUCCGUCCUCAUCUGGACUCUCCUCUGCUGCUGCUUCACAGAGUCCAGAGGCCAGGUCACAGUGACUCAGCCUGCAGCAGUGACAUCUGCUCUGGGAGGCUCUGCAACCAUCAACUGUAGGACCAGUCAGGAUGUUUAUAAUGGGGACUUCUUAGCCUGGUACCAACAGAGAGAUGAAGAGACUCCUAAACUUCUCAUCUACAGGGCUGACCAGGUGGAAUCAGGGAUUCCAGAUCGUUUUUCUGGCAGUGGAUCAAACUCUGACUUCACUCUGACCAUCAGUGGAGUUCAGGCUGAAGAUUCAGGAGUUUAUUACUGUCAGAGUGUUCAUGAUAUCAACAGUCAGUGGGUGUUCACACAGUGAA